GAUUGUGAGACUUAUGAUGGAAAAAAUGAUCAGGAGGUACUGAACGAGCCAGAGCAGCGCUUAUCAGAGCAGCAGUGGCUGACCUUAUGACAACCUCAUAAAAAUACGUCAUGGACCGUACACUACUUGCACAACCAGACAAGCAAGUCCUUCAGACUUGGCAUAGGUUAUCAAUGGAAAUCUGAGUUUCUGUGACUUCUCACACAGGAUAUUGCAUAACACCAGCCUUUAUGGAUGGCAUCCAAGAA
Molecule: long non-coding RNA, 248 nt
Organism: Clupea harengus (Atlantic herring)
Lineage: Eukaryota; Metazoa; Chordata; Actinopteri; Clupeiformes; Clupeidae
Exons: 2
Source: RefSeq, a predicted model, not a curated record